This 529-nucleotide ribosomal RNA is filed under the name Bifidobacterium ruminantium. RNAcentral describes it as "bacterial SSU rRNA". The record is from RNAcentral. Lineage: Bacteria; Bacillati; Actinomycetota; Actinomycetes; Bifidobacteriales; Bifidobacteriaceae.
GGGUGGUAAUGCCGGAUGCUCCGACAUGACGCAUGUCGUGUUGGGAAAGAUUCUAUCGGUAUGGGAUGGGGUCGCGUCCUAUCAGGUAGUCGGCGGGGUAACGGCCCACCGAGCCUACGACGGGUAGCCGGCCUGAGAGGGCGACCGGCCACAUUGGGACUGAGAUACGGCCCAGACUCCUACGGGAGGCAGCAGUGGGGAAUAUUGCACAAUGGGCGCAAGCCUGAUGCAGCGACGCCGCGUGCGGGAUGACGGCCUUCGGGUUGUAAACCGCUUUUGAYUGGGAGCAAGCCCCUCGGGGUGAGUGUACCUUUCGAAUAAGCACCGGCUAACUACGUGCCAGCAGCCGCGGUAAUACGUAGGGUGCAAGCGUUAUCCGGAAUUAUUGGGCGUAAAGGGCUCGUAGGCGGUUCGUCGCGUCCGGUGUGAAAGUCCAUCGCUUAACGGUGGAUCCGCGCCGGGUACGGGCGGGCUUGAGUGCGGUAGGGGAGACUGGAAUUCCCGGUGUAACGGUGGAAUGUGUAGAUAU